Molecule: ribosomal RNA, 428 nt
Filed under: uncultured bacterium
Lineage: Bacteria
Description: bacterial SSU rRNA
Rfam family: Bacterial small subunit ribosomal RNA
Source: RNAcentral
UCGAGAAUAUUUAGCAAUGGGCGAAAGCCUGACUAUGCGACGCCGCGUGCAGGAUGAAGGUCUUCGGAUUGUAAACUGCUUUUGUUAGGGGAGAAACCUGAAACGUUAAUAGCGUUUCAGCUGACGGUACCUGACGAAUAAGCCACGGCAAACCCCGUGCCAGCAGCCGCGGUAAUACGGGGGUGGCAAGCGUUACUCGGAAUUAUUGGGUGUAAAGGGCAGGUAGGUGGAUCUAUAAGUGAGGGGUGAAAUCCUGCGGUUCAAUCGCAGAACAGCCUUUCAAACUGUGGAUCUUGAGUGUGACAGAGGAAGAUGGAAUUCCUGGUGUAAGGGUGAAAUCUGUAGAUAUCAGGAAGAACACCAACGGCGAAGGCAAUCUUCUGGGUCACCACUGACACUGAGCUGCGAAAGCUAGGGGAGCAAACAGA